Molecule: non-coding RNA, 286 nt
Organism: Pelobates cultripes (western spadefoot toad)
Lineage: Eukaryota; Metazoa; Chordata; Amphibia; Anura; Pelobatidae
Source: the annotation of a GenBank genome assembly
CUGUGAUAGUAUGAACAUAAACCAGUGUGACAAAGCAGUGAAUAUUGCAUCCUGCCACAAUCUGCUAAAUAUAACUUCCUGAGGUAAUCCUGUGAAUAUUUAUAGUGGAUUUUGUUUGAAUAAAAUUCCUGGCAAUUGUUGAACAAAUCAAUUCUAAAUUGUUUUACCUGGUAUAUUAACUGUGUAGUCUAUGGUGGGAUUGAUUCAGAAUCAAUUUGUUUCGGUUUUCAUUGAUAGGAAUUUUUAUUUGGAUAAAUCGCUUCAAACAGAAGUCUGAUUUGUAGCC